RNAcentral lists this ribosomal RNA (253 nucleotides) under uncultured prokaryote. RNAcentral's name for it is "partial 16S ribosomal RNA". It matches the Rfam family "Bacterial small subunit ribosomal RNA", at positions 525 to 777 of the family's 1533-position model. The record is from RNAcentral.
ACAGAGGGUGCAAACGUUGUUCGGAAUUACUGGGCGUAAAGCGCGUGUAGGCGGCCCUGCAAGUCGGAUGUGAAAUCCCACGGCUCAACCGUGGAAGUGCAUUCGAAACUGCAGGGCUAGAGUCCUGGAGAGGAAGGUGGAAUGCUUGGUGUAGAGGUGAAAUUCGUAGAUAUCAAGCGGAACACCGGUGGCGAAGGCGGCCUUCUGGACAGUGACUGACGCUGAGACGCGAAAGCGUGGGGAGCAAACAGGA